GAUGAAGAACGCAGCGAAAUGCGAUAAGUAAUGUGAAUUGCAGAAUUCAGUGAAUCAUCGAAUCUUUGAACGCACAUUGCGCCCGCUAGUAUUCUGGCGGGCAUGCCUGUCCGAGCGUCAUUUCAACCCUCAAGCCCCCGGGCUUGGUGUUGGGGAUCGGCGAGCCUCCGCGCCCGCCGUCCCCUAAAUCUAGUGGCGGUCUCGCUGUAGCUUCCUCUGCGUAGUAGCACACCUCGCACUGGGAAACAGCGCGGCCACGCCGUUAAACCCACAACUUCUGAACGUUUGACCUCGGAUCAGGUAGGAAUACCCGCUGAACUUAAGCAUAUCAAUAAGCGGAGGA
RNAcentral lists this unclassified non-coding RNA (343 nucleotides) under soil metagenome. Its description in RNAcentral is "partial contains 5.8S ribosomal RNA, internal transcribed spacer 2, and large subunit ribosomal RNA". The stretch from base 1 to 120 matches the Rfam family "5.8S ribosomal RNA", at positions 35 to 154 of the family's 154-position model. The record is from RNAcentral.